CCUACGGGAGGCUGCAGUGGGGAAUAUUGGACAAUGGGCGAAAGCCUGAUCCAGCCAUGCCGCGUGUGUGAAGAAGGCCUUCGGGUUGUAAAGCACUUUCAGUGGGGAAGAAAGCCUUUGGGCUAAUACCCUCGAGGAAGGACAUCACCCACAGAAGAAGCACCGGCUAACUCCGUGCCAGCAGCCACGGUAAUACGGAGGGUGCGAGCGUUAAUCGGAAUUACUGGGCGUAAAGCGCGCGUAGGCGGUCUGAUAAGCCGGUUGUGAAAGCCCCGGGCUCAACCUGGGAACGGCAUCCGGAACUGUCAGGCUAGAGUGCAGGAGAGGAAGGUAGAAUUCCCGGUGUAGCGGGGAAAUGCGUAGAGAUCGGGAGGAAUACCAGUGGCGAAGGCGGCCUUCUGGACUGACACUGACGCUGAGGUGCGAAAGCGUGGGUAGCAAACAGGAUUAGAUACCCGUGUAGUC
This 465-nucleotide ribosomal RNA is filed under the name Vreelandella stevensii. RNAcentral describes it as "partial 16S ribosomal RNA". It matches the Rfam family "Bacterial small subunit ribosomal RNA", at positions 338 to 795 of the family's 1533-position model. Lineage: Bacteria; Pseudomonadati; Pseudomonadota; Gammaproteobacteria; Oceanospirillales; Halomonadaceae. The record is from RNAcentral.